AGUGAACGCUGGCGGUAGGCCUAACACAUGCAAGUCGAACGGCAGCACAGUAAGAGCUUGCUCUUACGGGUGGCGAGUGGCGGACGGGUGAGGAAUACAUCGGAAUCUACUUUUUCGUGGGGGAUAACGUAGGGAAACUUACGCUAAUACCGCAUACGACCUACGGGUGAAAGCAGGGGAUCUUCGGACCUUGCGCGAUUGAAUGAGCCGAUGUCGGAUUAGCUAGUUGGCGGGGUAAAGGCCACCAAGGCGACGAUCCGUGGCUGGUCUGAGAGGAUGAUCAGCCACACUGGAACUGAGACACGGUCCAGACUCCUACGGGAGGCAGCAGUGGGGAAUAUUGGACAAUGGGCGCAAGCCUGAUCCAGCCAUACCGCGUGGGUGAAGAAGGCCUUCGGGUUGUAAAGCCCUUUUGUUGGGAAAGAAAAGCAGCAGGUUAAUACCCCGCUGUUCUGACGGUACCCAAAGAAUAAGCACCGGCUAACUUCGUG
This 491-nucleotide ribosomal RNA is filed under the name uncultured bacterium. RNAcentral describes it as "partial 16S ribosomal RNA". It matches the Rfam family "Bacterial small subunit ribosomal RNA", at positions 29 to 507 of the family's 1533-position model. The record is from RNAcentral.